AAGGUCGUAACAAGGUUUCCGUAGGUGAACCUGCGGAAGGAUCAUUACAAAUAAAGCUGGUAGGAAGUGGGGUUCUUGAUCUGUAAGUGGUAGAGCGAAGCAGUCCGGCUGCCUCCCGAAAACUGUCUUACAUGUCCCCCAACAGCCUGAAGGCCGAAUUUACAACCCUUGAUUAUCUACACUUGUUGCUUUUGGGGAUGCUCAAGUGCCCCCAGAGGACCCAAACCCCGUCUUGCAUUUAGUGACGUCUGAGUACUAUAUAAUAUUUGAAAAG
This 274-nucleotide unclassified non-coding RNA is filed under the name plant metagenome. RNAcentral describes it as "partial contains small subunit ribosomal RNA and internal transcribed spacer 1". The stretch from base 1 to 47 matches the Rfam family "Eukaryotic small subunit ribosomal RNA", at positions 1785 to 1831 of the family's 1831-position model. The record is from RNAcentral.